CACAUAAUACAGUAGAAGAGGGGAGUGGGCAGGCAGCUAGGUUAGUUUAAGUUACUAAUUCUGUUUAGAGUUAAGUCUAACUUCAGAAAUUGUAACAGUUGUGAAGGAAUUCCAUAUAAGGUUUUUCUUUUCGUUCAUCUUCUUCUUCAUUUUCUUCAUCAUCCUGUUCGUUUCUCUCUGAUCGGAUACUUGCAGACACAGGCGCCAGAGGCAUAAUCGGAAGCAUUAAGCUUUGACAAGAUUUCUUGGUAUGAUAUGGAGAAAAAGAGAAGUGAACCAGUUAAAAAAGUCAUGGUGUUCGGUGUGACUUUAAUGCAAUUAUUUGUUAGGGGAAUCUCCAUGAUGGCAAUGCUGUAAUUGUUCAGAGGCAGCACCAAGAUCCUUCUACCUCUAAGAAGAGGAAAUUUGCAAAUAGGCAGUUCUCUUUCAUGUCCAUUUAAAUAUGCUUUUGACUUCUUUUUUUGCAAUUUUGGUGUCUUUUCAAAUUACAACAGUGCAUAUGUCUCACGUGCUCUACUUACUUUAUUCCUCUCAGUGAAGGGCAUCUCGAUCUGUUUCUCAAAGCACUCGAAGAGGAUCAAAAUUAGGGAGGCAAGCUUCUGAAUCCUAAUCUGUCUCUCAAAAGUUAGAAUACUAGAAUUUUUUUCUUGGAUUGAAAUGGGUAGACAGUUGAUAAUUUCUUCUUCCUCUCCUUUAAUGACUUUUAUCGAAUGGAACUACCUUUUGUUUAUUGGUAGUCCAUGUUUUUGUUUUUGUCAAGCUUGUCUUAUGGAGCAUUUUGCAUUAUUAGGGGGCCACUGUGCAAAACAUAGAAGUUGAUAAUUACAUUUAGGACAUGAUGACUCUUUUCAACUCGGUUGCGUUGAGAAACCAAAGGAAGGAAUGUUGGGUUGUUUUAUUUUUUGGGUAUAAGAAGUUAGGGAAAUGGGGAACAAGAAAAUGACAAUACCACCAUUGAAAUGUAAGCUAAUAGAAUUUGUGGUUUCUUGUAAGCUUUGCACAAGCAUUUUAUUUCUUGAUAGUUGGGUUAGCCUUACUCAAACGAUCAUGGAUGGUCCUGGAAUGUAGUGUACUUGGUUCAAGUUGGGCUAGUUUGUCAGAUGUCUUGAAUGUUUAAUGUUUUUAGAUGUUUGUUAUGUUUUACAUCACAUCCUUUAAAGAGUUAUUGAGUGUAGAUUAAAAUUUCCUACAUGAUUUAUAAUCUAAGUUGAGUUUCGAUGUGAGGUUUAGAAAAGGACAUAGAAUCUGUGGCAUCUAGUUCUCCUCCAAUCCCAUGCCCCAUUCCUGCAUAAUUAACUGUACUUCUGAAUGAUGUGAAGCUAUUGGCGGUGAUGACAAUAAUGAACAAUUAUAAUUGAUAAAUAUUGGUAAUUGAGUGCUUUCAUGAAAUCUUCACUAUCUUCAGCUCUCAUGUUGUUUUGAUACUAUUUAGUGCUUCUGUUGAUAAAUUUUAAAACUGCCUGAUGCACCAUUCUGAUAUUAUUGCAGGUAAGCAGAAAUAAUUACUGAGGAAAAAGAAAAGAAAAAGGAGGCUUCUACAUGUCGAAAUGGAAUGGAACUGCAUUGAUUGAUCCCUGCAAUACAAAUUUUUUUUUGGAUAACCAUGUCCGGGUUUUAUACUUUUACUAUAUCAAGUGCUAUACAAUGUUUUGCUGCUUGGUUCGACUUUUUUGAACAUGGACGUUGAGAUUUUUCUAGUCAUUCAUUACCCUAUGGAAAAAAUACCAUGUAGAUUCAUCACUGCUUAUGUUUGUAACUUUAGUCAUUCUCUUUUUUCGUUUGUUGCCCUCUUUUCUAAUCUCAGCUGUAGGUUCCCUCCUUAGUCUUCUUCCAUCUCAUCCCAGCCAUUUUGUGCUUUAUGCGUACCUUAGGGGUUCAAAUAUGCAAUGAGGUACAUAUUCGAAUUCUUGAACUGCAUCUGCAUGAUGAAGGUGGUAGACCUUUCAAUUUGAUUGAAACCUUUAGUUUAGUAAGGAUUGCACUUUGCAGUCUUCUAAAAUUUAGUCAAGUUGUAAACUAUUAUUCAGCUCAAGAACGUAAUUUUUCAUGUCUUCCGAUCAAGACAUACUAAUAGAAUUUGUGGUUGGAGCAUUUUAUUUACUGGGCAGGAUUAUCCUUUUGAUGCUUGAUCCGGAGUUUCGGCAAUUAUAUAAUUUGAAACUAC
Molecule: long non-coding RNA, 2164 nt
Organism: Prunus dulcis (almond)
Lineage: Eukaryota; Viridiplantae; Streptophyta; Magnoliopsida; Rosales; Rosaceae
Exons: 2
Source: RefSeq, a predicted model, not a curated record